CGCCGCCCGCCUUGCGCUACUGGAGGUGGAGCUUAGGAUUGACAUCUCGCGCCUGCCUGUCCCUUCCCCGCAGCCGCAAUAGCCCCGCCUUCCCGACUUGUCCAUAAGGCCUAAAUACGCGUGUUGCCGACAUUUUAACACCAGGCGACAACCAUGACAGCAUCAGACAAGAAUGGGGGUCAGUGCUUUUGUCUACAUUGGAAGAUGGCGACGGGCAGGGUGUGAGAAAAUGGCCGCCUGAGUCACACGUCUUGCCGAGUAUUCCUGAAAGAGUGGGGAAGGAAGAGAGAAAGAAGGACAGAAAUGUGGAUUAGCUGCCUCUUGUAUGCAUCCAG
Long non-coding RNA from Phyllostomus hastatus (greater spear-nosed bat), 335 nucleotides. RefSeq lists it as uncharacterized. The transcript has 3 exons. NCBI's taxonomy places the organism in Eukaryota, Metazoa, Chordata, Mammalia, Chiroptera, Phyllostomidae. The record is from RefSeq and is a predicted model, not a curated record.